Oncorhynchus nerka (sockeye salmon) is the source of this 717-nucleotide long non-coding RNA. RefSeq lists it as uncharacterized. The record is from RefSeq and is a predicted model, not a curated record. NCBI's taxonomy places the organism in Eukaryota, Metazoa, Chordata, Actinopteri, Salmoniformes, Salmonidae. The transcript has 3 exons.
UUUCCCUUCCUGUUUACAGUGACUCAGGAGAAAACAUUGGAGACCGGAGGAGCAGAUUCCACUCUUCUCUGCCCAAACCAAACACUCACUGACAUCCUGACUGUAGUAUGUCACAAAAAUAGAGUUAUAAGUGAGGGUCACGAGUGUAGAGUUUCACAAGACUUUGAGACAAAUCAUACCAACAGCUCUUGUGACCCCAGAGUCACACUGCAGACAGAGAAUGACAGAGUGUGUCUACACAUCACCAACAUACAGCCAUCUGAUGAAGGGAACUACACCUGUCAGUGUGGAUAUAAUGGGGGACGGGAUUAUAUAGACAUACAUAUUUCUGUCAAUGGAACCAAAGUGCAAGAGGCCACAGACAACCAUCUCUUCUAUUGGGGGAUGAUAUCAGGCGUUGCAGCAUGUGUAGCUGUCCUGGUGAUUGGUGGUGUAAUCAUGAGGAAAAUUCAUCUCAGGAGAACACAGCUACAAGUGUCUGGAACCGUCAACGAGGUGCCACAACACUGCUUGCUGUUACCUGUUAGUCAGAUGACAGCAGCUGGGUCCCCAUUUACAACAGUUGUGUACAUUUCACAAUAAAUAUCUGCGUGCUCCAUACCUGAAAAGACCGCACAUGUACAAUAACAUUGAGAUUCAUCAACUAGGCGGAUGCAAUACGUCUGCAUGUUUCCACUAUAAAUCAGACCCAUAACAUUGAGAUUCAUCAACUAGGCG